AUGAGUCUGCUAGCCUGGAACUGUCGAGGACUGGGCUUGGAUUCGAUAGUGGGCGAACUCCGCGACCUGAUUAGGUCCCACAACACAGUGGUGGUGUUUUUGAGUGAAACUAAGAAGAAGGCGGGAGUGAUGGAAAAACUCAAGUGGAGCUUGGGUUUUAGAUCUGGUGUGGCGGUGGAUUGUAAUGGCAAAAGUGGCGGGCUCGCUUUAUGGUGGAGGGAUCAUUUAGAUGUUAUAGUGAGGUCGUGGUGCCAAUAUUUCUUGGAUGCAGAAGUUGUUUGUGAAGGUAAAACCUAUAGAGUCAUUGGAUUCUAUUGGGAACCAAACACCGACCACAUGAUUAAAUCUUGGGAUGCUUUACGGUACCUGAAGAGACAGGAUAAUUUACCAUGGCCCUGUGUUGGCGAUUUCAAUGAAGCUUAG
Molecule: ribosomal RNA, 423 nt
Filed under: Triticum aestivum (bread wheat)
Lineage: Eukaryota; Viridiplantae; Streptophyta; Magnoliopsida; Poales; Poaceae
Description: partial small subunit ribosomal RNA
Source: RNAcentral